RNAcentral lists this long non-coding RNA (358 nucleotides) under Heterocephalus glaber (naked mole-rat). Its description in RNAcentral is "lncRNA (ENSHGLG00000043731.1)". Lineage: Eukaryota; Metazoa; Chordata; Mammalia; Rodentia; Bathyergidae. The record is from RNAcentral.
AAACUUGUCUUCACAGGUGUGGACAAGGGACCAGAGUGGGCUGAGGGAAAUCCUUCACUGUGACUUCAGAAGCACCCGACAAAGGCCCGCGAAGGAUGAUGAGAAAGCGUGGAAACGGCAAAGGACAAGAACGCUGCCCACAAAGGAAGCAGCAGCAGGAGGCGCAUCCUCGGGCUCCUUGCCGUGGUGGCCAGCCUUUUGGGAGCAAGGAUGGGACGGCGCAGCGACCCACCCGGGCCGGCAGGUGACUAUGCCCGCUCCUCUCGCAAGGCUUACCUGAGCGGCCCCGGGUCCGGGAGGGCGGUACCGCCCCUCUCCGCCAGGCGGGGAAGCUCCGUCCCACUGCCGGCCCCGCCCC